This 405-nucleotide ribosomal RNA is filed under the name uncultured bacterium. RNAcentral's name for it is "partial 16S ribosomal RNA". It matches the Rfam family "Bacterial small subunit ribosomal RNA", at positions 30 to 526 of the family's 1533-position model. The record is from RNAcentral.
AUUGAACGCUGGCGGCAGGCUUAACACAUGCAAGUCGAACGAGUGGCGGACGGGUGAGAAAUGCUUGGGAAUCGAGCUUAUGGAGGGGGAUAACUACGGGAAACUGUAGCAAAUACCGCGUACCAUAGGAUGAGCCCAAGUGGGCUUAGGUUGUUGGUGAGGGAAAGGCUCACAAAGCCGACGAUCUCUAGCUGGUCUGAGAGGAUGACCAGCCACAUUGGGACUGAAGCUAGGCCCAGACUCCUACGAGAGGCAAGAGUGGGGUAUAGUGCGGAAAUGGGGCAACCGUACACGGCCGUGCCGCGUGAAUGGAGAGGGCCUUCGGGUUUUAAAGGUCUUUCGGUAGCUGUGCGUUAACUAGAGAAGAAGCACCGGCUAACUCCGUGCCAGCAGCCGCGGUAAUUC